GACGAACGCUGGCGGCGUGCCUAAUACAUGCAAGUAGAGCGCACAGUUUAUACCGUAGCUUGCUACACCAUAGACUGUGAGUUGCGAACGGGUGAGUAACGCGUAGGUAACCUGCCUGGUAGCGGGGGAUAACUAUUGGAAACGAUAGCUAAUACCGCAUAAUAUUAAUUAUUGCAUGAUAGUUAAUUGAAAGGUGCAAUUGCACCACUACCAGAUGGACCUGCGUUGUAUUAGCUAGUAGGUGAGGUAACGGCUCACCUAGGCGACGAUACAUAGCCGACCUGAGAGGGUGAUCGGCCACACUGGGACUGAGACACGGCCCAGACUCCUACGGGAGGCAGCAGUAGGGAAUCUUCGGCAAUGGACGAAAGUCUGACCGAGCAACGCCGCGUGAGUGAAGAAGGUUUUCGGAUCGUAAAGCUCUGUUGUAAGAGAAGAACGGGUGUGAGAGUGGAAAGUUCACACUGUGACGGUAUCUUACCAGAAAGGGACGGCUAACUACGUG
RNAcentral lists this ribosomal RNA (505 nucleotides) under uncultured bacterium. RNAcentral describes it as "partial 16S ribosomal RNA". It matches the Rfam family "Bacterial small subunit ribosomal RNA", at positions 28 to 507 of the family's 1533-position model. The record is from RNAcentral.